CGACCAUCAACCUUCAACAGCGCCAGCUGCCCUUCCACAGAUCCAUCCGGUCUCCUCCAGCGGACGAACUUUCACAACACCUUCCGAAUUUCGCUAUCAGCUAACCUUCUGUCGGAUCCCUCGUGCAACCGAACCUCUUCGGUGGAUAGCCCUCAGACAAGCUUCUACAUCAGAUAAAUUCCAGACGGACUUCUCUGACAAUCGAAUUUCUACCGAACUUCACCAACAGAAAGUCUCCAUCCGA
This 244-nucleotide long non-coding RNA is filed under the name Elaeis guineensis (African oil palm). RNAcentral's name for it is "long non-coding RNA (EGUI_LNC067087)". The record is from RNAcentral. Lineage: Eukaryota; Viridiplantae; Streptophyta; Magnoliopsida; Arecales; Arecaceae.